This 30-nucleotide non-coding RNA is filed under the name Rattus norvegicus (Norway rat). The record is from RNAcentral. Lineage: Eukaryota; Metazoa; Chordata; Mammalia; Rodentia; Muridae.
UGUAUAAGUUUCCUUAUCUAAUGACUGUCC